GCGGAAGGAAGCUCACUGUAGAGGUCACGUGCUGAGUGCGUCACGCUUGUGAUGUCAUCUCUAUCCCACCUCCGGGAAGGUCUGAGACAGGAGCCCCUCGCCGCCCUCACAGGGCGUCACCUGAUAUUCGGGUGAGUGAGCCCCCAGCAACCCACGUUGGAGUGGACCGGUCCGUUAUGUGGGAGAGGCUAUGCAAAAGACGCCGAGCAGGGAUGUGGUGAGAUGGGCGGGUCACUGAUUUGAGGCCCGCCUACUCUUCAUCUGCGCCUCUGCCUGGUGGAUGCCGCCUCCUCCCCGGACCUUGGAAGUGACUCACGGCUGGCUUACUGAGUCCAAUGGCUGAGGCGAGGCAGCUGUGCGCCUCGUAACCCAAUUCAGACCACUCUCCGGAAUUCCG
RNAcentral lists this RNase P RNA (397 nucleotides) under Bufo bufo (common toad). RNAcentral's name for it is "partial ribonuclease P RNA". It matches the Rfam family "Nuclear RNase P". From Rfam's summary of the family: Ribonuclease P (RNase P) is a ubiquitous endoribonuclease, found in archaea, bacteria and eukarya as well as chloroplasts and mitochondria. Its best characterised activity is the generation of mature 5'-ends of tRNAs by cleaving the 5'-leader elements of precursor-tRNAs. Cellular RNase Ps are ribonucleoproteins. Lineage: Eukaryota; Metazoa; Chordata; Amphibia; Anura; Bufonidae. The record is from RNAcentral.